UAGAAUUCCACGUGUAGCGGUGAAAUGCGUAGAGAUGUGGAGGAAUACCGGUGGCGAAGGCGGCCUUCUGGACAGAUACUGACGCUGAGAUGCGAAAGCGUGGGGAGCAAACAGGAUUAGAUACCCUGGUAGUCCACGCUGUAAACGAUGUCGAUUUGGAGUUUGUUGCCUAGAGUGAUGGGCUCCGAAGCUAACGCGAUAAAUCGACCGCCUGGGGAGUACGGCCGCAAGGUUAAAACUCAAAUGAAUUGACGGGGGCCCGCACAAGCGGUGGAGCAUGUGGUUUAAUUCGAUGCAACGCGAAGAACCUUACCUGGUCUUGACAUCCACAGAAUCUUGCAGAGAUGCGAGAGUGCCUUCGGGAACUGUGAGACAGGUGCUGCAUGGCUGUCGUCAGCUCGUGUUGUGAAAUGUUGGGUUAAGUCCCGCAACGAGCGCAACCCUUAUCCUUUGUUGCCAUCGGUUAGGCCGGGAACUCAAAGGAGACUGCCGUUGAUAAAGCGGAGGAAGGUGGGGACGACGUCAAGUCAUCAUGGCCCUUACGACCAGGGCUACACACGUGCUACAAUGGCGUAUACAAAGGGAGGCGACCUCGCGAGAGCAAGCGGACCUCAUAAAGUACGUCUAAGUCCGGAUUGGAGUCUGCAACUCGACUCCACGAAGUCGGAAUCGCUAGUAAUCGUGAAUCAGAAUGU
RNAcentral lists this ribosomal RNA (695 nucleotides) under uncultured Gilliamella sp. Its description in RNAcentral is "bacterial SSU rRNA". It matches the Rfam family "Bacterial small subunit ribosomal RNA", at positions 662 to 1357 of the family's 1533-position model. The record is from RNAcentral. Lineage: Bacteria; Pseudomonadati; Pseudomonadota; Gammaproteobacteria; Orbales; Orbaceae.